RNAcentral lists this ribosomal RNA (911 nucleotides) under Penicillium roqueforti. RNAcentral's name for it is "LSU rRNA". It matches the Rfam family "Eukaryotic large subunit ribosomal RNA", at positions 38 to 965 of the family's 3401-position model. The record is from RNAcentral. Lineage: Eukaryota; Fungi; Ascomycota; Eurotiomycetes; Eurotiales; Aspergillaceae.
GCAUAUCAAUAAGCGGAGGAAAAGAAACCAACAGGGAUUGCCCCAGUAACGGCGAGUGAAGCGGCAAGAGCUCAAAUUUGAAAGCUGGCUCCUUCGGGGUCCGCAUUGUAAUUUGUAGAGGAUGCUUCGGGAGCGGUCCCCAUCUAAGUGCCCUGGAACGGGACGUCAUAGAGGGUGAGAAUCCCGUAUGGGAUGGGGUGUCCGCGCCCGUGUGAAGCUCCUUCGACGAGUCGAGUUGUUUGGGAAUGCAGCUCUAAAUGGGUGGUAAAUUUCAUCUAAAGCUAAAUAUUGGCCGGAGACCGAUAGCGCACAAGUAGAGUGAUCGAAAGAUGAAAAGCACUUUGAAAAGAGAGUUAAAAAGCACGUGAAAUUGUUGAAAGGGAAGCGCUUGCGACCAGACUCGCUCGCGGGGUUCAGCCGGCAUUCGUGCCGGUGUAUUUCCCCGCGGGCGGGCCAGCGUCGGUUUGGGCGGUCGGUCAAAGGCCCUCGGAAGGUAACGCCCCUAGGGGCGUCUUAUAGCCGAGGGUGCAAUGCGACCUGCCUAGACCGAGGAACGCGCUUCGGCUCGGACGCUGGCAUAAUGGUCGUAAGCGACCCGUCUUGAAACACGGACCAAGGAGUCUAACAUCUACGCGAGUGUUCGGGUGUCAAACCCGUGCGCGAAGUGAAAGCGAACGGAGGUGGGAACCCUUACGGGUGCACCAUCGACCGAUCCUGAAGUCUUCGGAUGGAUUUGAGUAAGAGCGUAGCUGUUGGGACCCGAAAGAUGGUGAACUAUGCCUGAAUAGGGCGAAGCCAGAGGAAACUCUGGUGGAGGCUCGUAGCGGUUCUGACGUGCAAAUCGAUCGUCGAAUUUGGGUAUAGGGGGCGAAAGACUAAUCGAACCAUCUGGUAGCUGGGUUCCUGCCGAA